Long non-coding RNA from Mya arenaria, 4232 nucleotides. RefSeq lists it as uncharacterized. The transcript has 3 exons. The record is from RefSeq and is a predicted model, not a curated record. NCBI's taxonomy places the organism in Eukaryota, Metazoa, Mollusca, Bivalvia, Myida, Myidae.
GUAUAAUUUUCAAGGUAACAACCAAGGCACUUCAACCUGGAAGUAGACAUGAACUCGCAAUUAACGGAAUUGAUAACCGUUUUCUGAUUAAAAAAUAAAAAUGUUGACUUCUAGGUAUAGUGUAUCGAUAUAUGCUCUGCUUUAUAUGUGUAUAACAGAAUGCAAGGGUCAGAUUCGUUGCUAUGUUUGUUCCACACUACCUGGCUCUCAAUACGGGGACAUGUGCGGAGACAACUUCAGGCUGCAGUCAAUACAUGCAUCAAAAUGUGAUGGCUCAUGCCAGAAAACCAGAGGCUACAGGAACGAAGGGGGUCGCCGUGUUGUUGAGGUAACAAGGAGCUGCGUCCCAUACACGGGCGAGGGCUGUAGCGUCGGGCAACACCAAGGCAUUACUGCAGACAUUUGUACUUGUAGAGAAGAAUUGUGCAACCAUGGGAUGACAUUUAAGUGUUCAGUUGUAUUUGCGGUGGUUGUUGGAUUGCUUGGGAAAAUUUUGUGUACUGUAUGGUUGUGAUGAACCUUCAAACUCCACAUUCAUACUCAGGACAAGACACACUGUGAGAAAGACACGUUACAAUACAUAUCAUUAAACAGGGCUUUCUCUAACUUGUGAUGAAGUGAAUUAUAAAAUGGCUGGGAAUGAGCUGGCUCAUAGGUUUCCAUGUUGUUAUGCAAACCUUAUUUUUGACACAAGAUUGAUUUGUGAGGCCAGUUUUACCGUCUUUAACCUGAUGUAUGAUUUACCAAAUAUAUUUUUUGUGAUAUGAUAAAGACUUAUUACUAUUUUAAUGCUGUGACGUUCAAUAUUAUAUUCUAUUAAUUUGAUUUAAACUCAAUGUAAAAGAAUUAUUAAACUGCAGGAAAAGUGAUUUUGUACAAUGCAUGAAUAAUAUUCAUUUGUUGAAGAAUGAUAUUUGCCUAUUGGGUUUAGAGAAAAUGCUAUCCAACAAUGUUUUACUCUGAAACGCAGUAACUACGUAUAAUUAUGUCACAGGUAAACCUGUACAUAAACAUGUUUUACUUCCAUAGAUGUGCAGAGUUAAACCCUCUUUAAUUAUGAAUUGUGUAAUAGUAAACAUGGAUGUGUUUUAAACUACUGCUGUGAUGCCCAAUAGACAGAUUACUCAUCCCCAUGAAGCAACCAGAAACAAAGCUACCAGUAAUACAAUCCAUGCAUUUAAGAUGCACUUGUUUAUCUAAUAUUAAUGUCUGAAAGUUUUUUUUUAAUGGGAUGGUGGUAGUUUACUUAUUGCUUCUAUAUUUCAGUUGAUCAGCAUCAACAUGCCAUUGAUAUUAAUCUGGCAGAUCUGCAUAACACUGAAAUGUAUUUUUUAUGUCAUAAUGAAACAUGGACAUAUCAUGUCCCAAUUUCCUGAAAGUUCUCAAAAUUAACAAGCUUAAGUAGCUUGUUUCAUUCAGCUAAAUUUCUAAUUUAAUCAUAGUUUAUCCAAUAAUAAGUAGUUCAUAAUUGUGACUUUCAUCAAGAUAGUGUGGUUUUUAAGUUCAAACACUCUUAAGAAAGUAAAUACACAUGUACUACACAAAUUAUACCAAAACGAAAAUAAUGAGCUUAGCUUUAAAAUCAUGUUAUAAGUGUGUGACUUACGAUGCUUCAGUAAUUAAUCCCUAACAUUAUCUGCCAAGUAUGGUGUUUGUCUUAAUAUAUUAACCUUUUUAUACUUAAUUACAUUAAUGACGAUUUGAUAACCAAAUAACGAUAUGAACAAUGAUAUGUCUGUAAGAAUUGAUGCUAGAGAUACAUUUUUCUGCUUUCAUUUUUUUGUCAUACCCAAGUAUACAUUGUAAUUACUGUUGCUCUUUGAAUAGCAUUUGUAAGUAACCUGUUGAUAAUUUAAAAAUAAUUUUGUUGACAUGUUUCUAUUCUUUAAAGGAUUAACCUUAUAUACAUAAUAUGUUUUUUCAAUAUGUGAGAACAAAUAGUAGUAUUAAUUUAAACAAUGAUUAUGUAUUUUUAGCUUGACUGUUUGAAGAAUAAGGAGAGCUAUACUACUCCCCCAAGCGUCGGCGUUGGCGUCACACCUUGGUUAAGGUUUUGCAUGCAAGCACCUUUAAAUCAAUAUCUCAGUGAAUACAUCAUGUAUUGCAUUGAAACUUUAGAUAUGUAUUCCCAACUAUUUAACCUACUAAAUUAAUGAAGUUAGAUAACACUUAUUUGAAUUUAAUGCAAAAAAAUAGGCCUUUAUUAUUCGACUUAGAAAUUCUGGUUAAGGUUCAUAUCUCAGCAACUACUAGAGGUAUUGCAUUGAGACUUUAUACAAUGGUACUCAACCAUCCAAUCUACUUAAAUAACCAAGUAAGAUAACUCUAGUUUGCAUUAAUUCAAAUAAUGGCUCCUUUUUUAUUCAACAUAGAAAUUCUGGUUAAGGUUUUGCAUGUAACCACUUUUAAGUCAAUACCUCAGCGAAUACAUGAUGUAUUGCAUUGAAACUUUACACACAGGCUCCCAACCAUUUAACCUUCUUAUUUAAUCAAGUAAGAUAAUUCUAUCUUUCAUAUUAUAUAAUUUUUGGCCCUUUAUUAUGCAACUUAGAAAUUCUGGUUAAGGUCUUGCAUGUUAUAGCACACAUAUGAUAAUAUCUCAGCAACUACUUGAUGUAUUGCAUUGAGACUUUAUACAAUGGUAUUCAACCACCCAACCUAAUUGAAUAACCAAGUUAGGUAACUGUAUUUUGCAAAUAAUGGCCCUUUAUUAUUAGACUUAGAAAUUCUGGUUAAAAUUUUGCAUGUAACCACAUUUAUGUUAAUAUCUCAGCACAUCAUGUAUUGCAUUGAAAUCUAAUCUUACAGUGAUCCAUGCAUGUUUCGCCAAAUCUUUUCAAUCCUUACACUGAAAAGCGGCGGAAUAGUCGAGCGUGCUGUCUCUGUGACAGCUCUUGUUAUACAUAAAGUCAACAAUAUUUAAUCAAAAUCGUAUGCAUAAGCAUUGUUUAUUCUUAGAAUUGUUAAUAUUUUGUAAGCUUUUAAGAGUACAUGUAUAAUUUAGUUCCAAAUUUCUUAGUCUCAAAUGCUGGAACAGUUUUGUGUUCAAUUUCAAGCUAAAACCCUGGCCACUAUACACCGUACCGUACACUUUAUCGUCCAGAAAAGCAUUUAAAGCUGCACUCUCACAGAUAUACCAUUUUUACAACUUUUUUAUUUUUUGUCUAGGAAAGAGCAAAUUUUUGCUGAAUAUCUGCAAACCAAUGAUAAAAGAUUGCUGACAAAAGAUCAGAUUUUCAUAUUUCCGUCGAAAAUUAAUGUUUUAUGGCUUAAACCGUUACUAAAGGUCUGAUAAUCUGAGAUCUAUUUUUUGUCAGCAGUCUUAUAUAACUGGUUUCCAUGGAUUUUCGCCAAAAAUGGCUCGUUCCAAGACAAAAAUUUAAGAAUUUGUCAAAACGUUCAAUCUGUGAGAGUGCAGCUUUAAGGAUUUUCAUACUGCAAUAAAAUGUAUGAAAUGCUAGCCUGAUAUUUUCAUUCAAACAAGGGAUAUAUCUCAACAAUUAUUGAAUCAAGAGUUAUGGGGCCUUGAUGUACAUGUGUGUAUUGUCUUGGGUAAUAUGUACACACAUAUAUAUAUAUAUAUAUAUAUAUAUAUAUAUAUAUAUAUAUAUAUAUAUAUAUAUAUAUAUAUAUGUAUUUAUAUAUAUAUACCAAGUUUCAUGUCUAUAUAUUGAAUUGUUUUUGAGUUAUGGCCAACAUUAAGUUUUUGCAUUUAAACAAUGAAACCACGAAGACCACAAUACAGUACCGUUUUUUUCCGAUAUAGUUCCAAAAGUAAUGUUACUUCACACAUUUAAAAACCAUCAAGGGACCAAUGUAUGGUUUGGUGAACAGCCAGGGUUUUCACUGAAUAAUCAAUCAUACAGGGGUUCUAAUAGCUGAUAAUUGUCAAUCCUGAAAAAUAGCCUACGGUUUGUUCAAAUAUGAGUGACUCAUGCCCAUAGCAGGGUUAAUAAGGGUGGCUUUGACCCUGGUGGCUUUCAUUUCAAGGCACUUGCUAUUAUUUUCAAUGCGAAUGUCUGAGUAAACGGUUUAAAACUGUACAGUAGCUUAAUUUAAAAACUCCCAAUUAUUAUUUCAAGAUUAUCUCUGAACUUGAGAACCCCUGAUAUUAUCAUUGUGUGUAGAUGUUGUAAAUGUUUAAUGAUCGUCCAUUAUUUGUAUCAUGUAUAUGUAAAAGAGAUAAUCAGAAAUGCAUAAUUAAUUAUAGAAUAAUAAAAAGAAUAAAGAUC